RNAcentral lists this transfer RNA (70 nucleotides) under Acestrorhynchus sp. NM-2010. RNAcentral describes it as "tRNA-Pro". It matches the Rfam family "tRNA". Rfam says of the family: Transfer RNA (tRNA) molecules are approximately 80 nucleotides in length. Their secondary structure includes four short double-helical elements and three loops (D, anti-codon, and T loops). The record is from RNAcentral. Lineage: Eukaryota; Metazoa; Chordata; Actinopteri; Characiformes; Acestrorhynchidae.
CAGAAAAUAGUUUAACUUAGAAUGCUGGCUUUGGGGGCUAGUGGUGAGAGUUUAAGUCUUUCUUUUCUGG